CCUACGGGAGGCAGCAGUAGGGAAUAUUGCUCAAUGGGGGAAACCCUGAAGCAGCAACGCCGCGUGGAGGAUGAAGGUUUUCGGAUUGUUAAAUCCUUUUGUUAGAGAAGAAAAUGACGGUAUCUAACGAAUUAGCACCGGCUCACUCCAUGCCAGCAGCCGCGGUACUAAGGAGGGUGCAAGCGUUACUCGGAAUCACUGGGCGUAAAGAGCGCGGAGGAGGGAUAGAAAGUCAGAGGUGAAAUCCUAUGGCUGAACCAUAGAACUGCAUUGGAAACUGUUAUUCUAGAGUAUGGGAGAGGUAGGUGGAAUUCUGGGUGUAGGGGUGAAAUGCGUAGAUAUGAAGAGGAAGA
Molecule: ribosomal RNA, 353 nt
Filed under: uncultured bacterium
Lineage: Bacteria
Description: partial 16S ribosomal RNA
Rfam family: Bacterial small subunit ribosomal RNA
Source: RNAcentral